This 157-nucleotide ribosomal RNA is filed under the name uncultured bacterium. RNAcentral describes it as "partial 16S ribosomal RNA". It matches the Rfam family "Bacterial small subunit ribosomal RNA", at positions 1346 to 1500 of the family's 1533-position model. The record is from RNAcentral.
AGGUCAGCAUACUGCCGUGAAUACGUUCCCGGGCCUUGUACACACCGCCCGUCACACCCAUGAGAGUUGGGAAUACCCGAAGCCUGUGAGCCAACAGUAACUGAGGCAGCAGUCGAAGGUAGAAUCAAUGAUUGGGGUGAAGUCGUAACAAGGUACC